CGGGGGGGGGUGCUAUACAUGCAAGUUGAGCGCUGAAGGUUGGUACUUGUACCAACUGGAUGAGCAGCGAACGGGUGAGUAACGCGUGGGGAAUCUGCCUUUGAGCGGGGGACAACAUUUGGAAACGAAUGCUAAUACCGCAUAAAAACUUUAAACACAAGUUUUAAGUUUGAAAGAUGCAAUUGCAUCACUCAAAGAUGAUCCCGCGUUGUAUUAGCUAGUUGGUGAGGUAAAGGCUCACCAAGGCGAUGAUACAUAGCCGACCUGAGAGGGUGAUCGGCCACAUUGGGACUGAGACACGGCCCAAACUCCUACGGGAGGCAGCAGUAGGGAAUCUUCGGCAAUGGACGAAAGUCUGACCGAGCAACGCCGCGUGAGUGAAGAAGGUUUUCGGAUCGUAAAACUCUGUUGGUAGAGAAGAACGUUGGUGAGAGUGGAAAGCUCAUCAAGUGACGGUAACUACCCAGAAAGGGACGGCUAACUACGUGCCAGCAGCCGCGGUAAUACGUAGGUCCCGAGCGUUGUCCGGAUUUAUUGGGCGUAAAGCGAGCGCAGGUGGUUUAUUAAGUCUGGUGUAAAAGGCAGUGGCUCAACCAUUGUAUGCAUUGGAAACUGGUAGACUUGAGUGCAGGAGAGGAGAGUGGAAUUCCAUGUGUAGCGGUGAAAUGCGUAGAUAUAUGGAGGAACACCGGUGGCGAAAGCGGCUCUCUGGCCUGUAACUGACACUGAGGCUCGAAAGCGUGGGGAGCAAACAGGAUUAGAUACCCUGGUAGUCCACGCCGUAAACGAUGAGUGCUAGAUGUAGGGAGCUAUAAGUUCUCUGUAUCGCAGCUAACGCAAUAAGCACUCCGCCUGGGGAGUACGACCGCAAGGUUGAAACUCAAAGGAAUUGACGGGGGCCCGCACAAGCGGUGGAGCAUGUGGUUUAAUUCGAAGCAACGCGAGGAACCUUACCAGGUCUUGACAUACUCGUGCUAUUCCUAGAGAUAGGAAGUUCCUUCGGGACACGGGAUACAGUGGUGCAUGGUUGUCGUCAGCUCGUGUCGUGAGAUGUUGGGUUAGUCCCGCACGAGCGCACCCCUAUUGUAGUGCAUCAUAGUGGCACUCUACCGAGACUGCGUGAUAAUCGGAGAAGGUGGAUGACGUCAUCAUCAUGCCAUAUGACUGGACUACACCGUGCUACCAUG
Molecule: ribosomal RNA, 1187 nt
Filed under: Lactococcus lactis
Lineage: Bacteria; Bacillati; Bacillota; Bacilli; Lactobacillales; Streptococcaceae
Description: bacterial SSU rRNA
Rfam family: Bacterial small subunit ribosomal RNA
Source: RNAcentral